This 179-nucleotide non-coding RNA is filed under the name Peptococcaceae bacterium. RNAcentral's name for it is "6S RNA". It matches the Rfam family "6S / SsrS RNA". From Rfam's summary of the family: E. coli 6S RNA was the first non coding RNA to be sequenced, but its function was unknown until recently. It consists of 184 nucleotides that fold into an extended hairpin structure with a large single-stranded internal bulge. The 6S RNA specifically associates with RNA polymerase holoenzyme containing the sigma70 specificity factor. RNAcentral also lists the same sequence under 4 other names. Lineage: Bacteria; Bacillati; Bacillota; Clostridia; Eubacteriales; Peptococcaceae. The record is from RNAcentral.
UAAACCCUACGAUGUGCGUGGGAAUCCUGGGAGUUUUGAGCCAACACCAAAACUAUUGGAGCCUGGACUCUGGUUGUGGCUUGUAUGCCUUGUAUCAAGGGAACAUAAAGCAACCAGGAGGGCACCACCGUGCUGAGCCAGGUUCAGACACCGGGACCCACGGCAUUUGUGGGGUUUUC